UUGCUCUUACCAUCAACUCUUCCACAGCUUUGGCAAACAUAUGGUUGUCAUAUCUUUCUGAUUUGUUUUGCUUGUCAUGAAAUAGUUCGUUGCUGGUGCGAGGUGAAUCGGAAUCAACAUAUGAGCACGAGACCAUGCUGCACGCAUCCCCCAAGGCCAAUCUAGAAGUGGAGUAAGCCACAUUCUCAUACUCUGAGUUAGCAUCAGAAAAAAG
Molecule: unclassified non-coding RNA, 214 nt
Filed under: Hevea brasiliensis (rubber tree)
Lineage: Eukaryota; Viridiplantae; Streptophyta; Magnoliopsida; Malpighiales; Euphorbiaceae
Source: RNAcentral